AGCUUUGCACAGUGGCAAUAUCGUAGCCAGUGAGGUUUAUCAGAGGUGCGAUUAUUGCUAAUUAAAAAAAGAAAAAGAAAAGAAAGCAUCCCAGCCCAGUCC
This 102-nucleotide small nuclear RNA is filed under the name Echinops telfairi (small Madagascar hedgehog). Its description in RNAcentral is "U4 spliceosomal RNA (ENSETEG00000024792.1)". The stretch from base 1 to 70 matches the Rfam family "U4 spliceosomal RNA". Rfam says of the family: U4 small nuclear RNA (U4 snRNA) is a component of the major U2-dependent spliceosome. The structure of U4 snRNA from yeast and human has been reported. The record is from RNAcentral. Lineage: Eukaryota; Metazoa; Chordata; Mammalia; Afrosoricida; Tenrecidae.